RNAcentral lists this long non-coding RNA (2756 nucleotides) under Lactuca sativa (garden lettuce). Its description in RNAcentral is "long non-coding RNA (LSAT_LNC009035)". Lineage: Eukaryota; Viridiplantae; Streptophyta; Magnoliopsida; Asterales; Asteraceae. The record is from RNAcentral.
UUUUGCAGCCGCCACCCCACUCCCUCUCCACUCUCCUUCUCCAACUGCCUCCAUCAGAAGAAUCGUCGGAUGUCGGGGUCGCCGAAAGAAGCCGCCACGACCGUUGUUGUUUUGGGGAGAACCAUUGCUAUGAUCGCUGUUGCUGCCACUACCUUGUGUCGCUGUUGCUUCGUUACCGUCAGGCGGUGAACCGCCAUAUCCUCAUUUUUCUUCUCCUUUCUGCGACCGCAAACUUUAGGACUCGUCACACAGCAGCAGCCGCCGCCUACUGCCGGAUGCUUGCGUGAAGGUUGCUGUUGUUCGUUGAAUGCCAUCGGGAGGGUGGUACUGGCUGUUAUUCGUGACCUACGACAUGUAAGCAUAUGAAUAGUGGGAUCUCUGUCGAACAUGGAUCAUGGAGAACCACCAUGGCGACCGGCCAUGGUGGUUGUCAUCGAUAACCGAUGUUGCUGCUCUUUUUCCUUGCUGCAAUUGUCGCCAACCUUGCUGCCGCCGCCACCGUGAGCCUCCAGGUGGGUGGUGGCUAGAGUAUAUUCUGAAAUCGAGUUGUGUAUGUGUCUCCGGGUGGUUGUGUGCUAUUGUUGAUAAUUGGUGCAUCUCGUGUGCGUGAUUUGUUGGCCAUAAUUGAAACACGGACCACCAUGGCCGCCAACCAUGGUGGUUGCCACCAUCUACCGCCACAGUGCGGCGAUGUGUGCAUGUGUGUUAUGUUAUGUGAGUGUGUGUGUUUGUGUAUCUUGUAAAAAUUGUAAUAGUGUCGGUAAUCAAUGGAAAAACUUGUAACCACCAUCGUGAGGUGGUGGCUGCCGCCACCAACCGCCGUGUCGGGGGGGGGUGNGUGAGUUGAUUCCUUUGGGCCUUGUAAACCCUAAUGGGCCCAAUGAGGCCUAAUGGGCUUAGUGAAAAUCCUAAUGGGCUUAAUGAUAUUCUAGUGGGCCUAAUAGGCCCAUUAAAGACCUAAUUGACCUAAGAGCCCAACAAUUGAUAAAUGAGCUAGUAUUUGGGUUGGAAAACUCUAAUUAGGGUUUAGAAAACCCUUAGGGCACAAAACCCUAGUUGUGGGAAUUUUUUGGGACACACACGAGAAUUUAUUAUUAAAUCUAAAAUAAUAAUUAAUAAUCAUUGGCAAUAAUGGACUUAAGGGAUUAAGUCCUUAAUAGAUUAAUUCCUUAAUGGAUUAAGUCUGUAAUGGGUUAAGUAACAAACACUUAAGCUUAAUCAUCAUUUCAUGUGAAAGCCCUAAUCUCACUCGGGCCUUGAAUUGGGCCUUCCUAUUAGGCUUUGGCGAUUGGACUAUUGGUGAGCCAUCUAAGAACAAGUUAAUGGACCAGAGUAAUUAGAUGGGCUUUAGGAUAAGGCCCACAUGAGGACUUGGGCCCAAUUUUGAAAAUUGGGCCAUAGAUGGGCCAUAAUUGGGUCUUUAUGAUUAUGUGAUAUUGGGCCAUGGGAAUUGGAUGGGCCUUAAGGAAAGACCAUGUAGAGGUUUGGGCCCAAUUUGGAAAGUUGGGCCAUAUGUUAGGCUUUGGCCAGUUAUUUGACUUUUGGGCUUUUGUAGUGUGAGUUGGACCUUGGGCUUGAAACCCACUUAUUAAUUGGGUAUUGUUUGAUGUUGACAGUUCGGGAAUUUAUCAACCAGCAGCUGGAGUGUAUCUGCGGGACUUCAACAGUCCCAGGUGAGUUAUCCUCACUAUACUAACUGGUCUAAGGCACCAAGGUCGGCCUAUUGGAUAUGUUAUCCUAGUAGUGUUAUAUGUUGAGUAUGAGUUAGUGUUGCAUGCUAGUGGUUAUGCCAGUUAGGUAGACCUGUAGGACUACCAGUGAUGUUAUAUGAUUAUUGCAUGCUCAAUAGUUACGUUAUAUGUUAUGUGGGAUGGGUUGAGGUUGUACUACUCCGUACGGUAGCCAAUAAACCCUAGAGUAUUCCAGAUAUGAGUUGAGGGCCCGGUAGGCAUUGCAGACUUGUACUGAGGGCUUGAUGGCAAUCCUGAUACGAGCUGAGGGCCCGGUAGGCAUUCCAGACUCAUACUGAGGGCUCGGUGGUAAUCCAGAUGCGAGUUGAGAGCUCGGUAGGUAUUCCAGACUCACACUGUGGGCCUAGGGGUAUGCCAGUCUGUAAAGCUAUGGACCCGUUACGUGUUGUUCUGUUUAGUUUGUAUUGUUAUGAUAUUGCUAAUAUCGUUAUGUGGACUGUAUGUGUAUCGGUAUUUUGGGGGUAACUCAUUAUGAUUUCGGGCUUACAGUUUCAAUUUAUUGUUUCAGGUACUUCAGAGGAUCGUGGCAACACAAAGGCGUUAUCAUACAGCUCCUCACUUUUUAUGACUUUGUUUUUAGGAUACUCUGAUAUGAUACAUUUUGAAAACAAGUUUGUAAUAGUUAAUGGAUUUGAAAUGUUUUUAAAAGUUUAAAUUGGCUUGAAUUUCUCGGGUGUUACACCGGGGGCUAUUCAUGGGAGGUCUUCAGGAAAUACGUCUUGAAAGUUACACACCUUCGGUAUAUCCGUGAGGUUCUUUUCCUCUUUCUGUUUGAACACUACAUGGGCUAGAAAGGCGUGAUUCUUUUUAUGCAGGCACUUUUGUGCCUUGAUGCAUGAGAUAAGAUGGAGAUUCGUACCAAGUUUAUCUCCGUAUAUAAUUAGUGUUUCGUUGGUGGGUAGGUGAAGGCAAACAGUGUAAUGCUUGUGUUUUUAGGCUAAGCAUUAAUGUGAUGAUGUAAUAGUUAGGGUCAACAAUUAUAACCUAUUUGACGUAAUAAAGAAG